This 253-nucleotide ribosomal RNA is filed under the name uncultured bacterium. RNAcentral describes it as "partial 16S ribosomal RNA". It matches the Rfam family "Bacterial small subunit ribosomal RNA", at positions 524 to 776 of the family's 1533-position model. The record is from RNAcentral.
GACAGAGGCCCCGAGCGUUAGGCGGAAUCACUGGGCUUAAAGCGUGUGUAGGCGGGCCCGUAAGUACCUUGUGAAAUCCCACGGCUCAACCGUGGAACGGCUGGGUAUACUGCGGGUCUUGGGCCAACUAGGGGCAGCCGGAACAAGCGGUGGAGCGGUGAAAUGCGUAGAUAUCGCUUGGAACGCCGAAGGUGAAAACAGGCUGCUGGGGUUGCGCCGACGCUGAGACACGAAAGCCAGGGGAGCAAACGGG